RNAcentral lists this ribosomal RNA (539 nucleotides) under Bifidobacterium longum subsp. infantis. Its description in RNAcentral is "bacterial SSU rRNA". It matches the Rfam family "Bacterial small subunit ribosomal RNA", at positions 157 to 710 of the family's 1533-position model. The record is from RNAcentral. Lineage: Bacteria; Bacillati; Actinomycetota; Actinomycetes; Bifidobacteriales; Bifidobacteriaceae.
CGGGUGGUAAUGCCGGAUGCUCCAGUUGAUCGCAUGGUCUUCUGGGAAAGCUUUCGCGGUAUGGGAUGGGGUCGCGUCCUAUCAGCUUGACGGCGGGGUAACGGCCCACCGUGGCUUCGACGGGUAGCCGGCCUGAGAGGGCGACCGGCCACAUUGGGACUGAGAUACGGCCCAGACUCCUACGGGAGGCAGCAGUGGGGAAUAUUGCACAAUGGGCGCAAGCCUGAUGCAGCGACGCCGCGUGAGGGAUGGAGGCCUUCGGGUUGUAAACCUCUUUUAUCGGGGAGCAAGCGAGAGUGAGUUUACCCGUUGAAUAAGCACCGGCUAACUACGUGCCAGCAGCCGCGGUAAUACGUAGGGUGCAAGCGUUAUCCGGAAUUAUUGGGCGUAAAGGGCUCGUAGGCGGUUCGUCGCGUCCGGUGUGAAAGUCCAUCGCUUAACGGUGGAUCCGCGCCGGGUACGGGCGGGCUUGAGUGCGGUAGGGGAGACUGGAAUUCCCGGUGUAACGGUGGAAUGUGUAGAUAUCGAAAAAAAACACC